RNAcentral lists this ribosomal RNA (250 nucleotides) under uncultured bacterium. RNAcentral describes it as "partial 16S ribosomal RNA". It matches the Rfam family "Bacterial small subunit ribosomal RNA", at positions 525 to 774 of the family's 1533-position model. The record is from RNAcentral.
ACGUAGGGUGCAAGCGUUGUUCGGAAUCACUGGGCGUAAAGAGAGCGUAGGCGGGAUUGUAAGUUAGAAGUUUAAUACAAGGGCUUAACCCUUGGCCGGCUUUUAAUACUGCAGUUCUUGAAUGUGGGAGAGGGCAAUGGAAUUCCAGGUGUAGCGGUGGAAUGCGUAGAUAUCUGGAAGAACACCAGUAGCGAAGGCGGUCGCCUGGCCCAAUACUGACGCUGAUACUCGAAAGCUAGGGGAGCAAACA